RNAcentral lists this ribosomal RNA (301 nucleotides) under uncultured bacterium. RNAcentral describes it as "partial 16S ribosomal RNA". It matches the Rfam family "Bacterial small subunit ribosomal RNA", at positions 509 to 807 of the family's 1533-position model. The record is from RNAcentral.
CAGUCGCCGCGGGAAUACGAAGGGGGCUAGCGUUGUUCGGAAUUACUGGGCGUAAAGCGCACGCAGGCGGAUAUUUAAGUCAGGGGUGAAAUCCCGCAGCUCAACUGCGGAACUGCCUUUGAUACUGGGUAUCUUGAGUAUGGAAGAGGUUAGUGGAAUUGCGAGUGUAGAGGUGAAAUUCGUAGAUAUUCGCAGGAACACCAGUGGCGAAGGCGGCUAACUGGUCCAUAACUGACGCUGAGGUGCGAAAGCGUGGGGAGCAAACAGGAUUAGAUACCCCCGUAGUCCCUGUCUCUUAUAC